GUUUUAACUGGCUGGGGGACUGGUCAUGUCCUGUGCUGGCAGAUUAUCAUUGCUGGGGCUGCAGGAUUAUUAAAGGGCCAGGACUGUAAGGUUAUUUGAAGCCAGAGAACUCCUAUACAAAUUAAGUGGGCACAAAAUAUCCAGCUGAGAACCUGCGAGGAAUGUGAGUGCCCUGAGGUUCCAGCUCUUCCACAAGGCCAGUGGAAAGAGGUUGGGUCUCAUCUCUGAUUUCAUGAUGUGCUUUGGUACCAACGACG
This 257-nucleotide long non-coding RNA is filed under the name Gopherus agassizii (Agassiz's desert tortoise). RNAcentral's name for it is "lncRNA (ENSGAGG00000025708.1)". The record is from RNAcentral. Lineage: Eukaryota; Metazoa; Chordata; Testudines; Testudinidae.